ACCAGCGGAGGGAUCAUUACUGAGUUUACGCUCUAUAACCCUUUGUGAACAUACCUAUAACUGUUGCUUCGGCGGGUAGGGUCUCCGUGACCCUCCCGGCCUCCCGCCCCCGGGCGGGUCGGCGCCCGCCGGAGGAUAACCAAACUCUGAUUUAACGACGUUUCUUCUGAGUGGUACAAGCAAAUAAUCAAAACUUUUAACAACGGAUCUCUUGGUUCUGGCAUCGAUGAAGAACGCAGCGAAAUGCGAUAAGUAAUGUGAAUUGCAGAAUUCAGUGAAUCAUCGAAUCUUUGAACGCACAUUGCGCCCGCCAGCAUUCUGGCGGGCAUGCCUGUUCGAGCGUCAUUUCAACCCUCAAGCUCUGCUUGGUGUUGGGGCCCUACAGCUGAUGUAGGCCCUCAAAGGUAGUGGCGGACCCUCCCGGAGCCUCCUUUGCGUAGUAACUUUACGUCUCGCACUGGGAUCCGGAGGGACUCUUGCCGUAAAACCCCCAAUUUUCCAAAGGUUGACCUCGGAUCAGGUAGGAAUACCCGCUGAACUUAAGCAUAUCAAUAAGCGG
Molecule: ribosomal RNA, 559 nt
Filed under: Colletotrichum siamense
Lineage: Eukaryota; Fungi; Ascomycota; Sordariomycetes; Glomerellales; Glomerellaceae
Description: eukaryotic LSU rRNA
Rfam family: 5.8S ribosomal RNA (bases 192-345)
Source: RNAcentral